Molecule: long non-coding RNA, 438 nt
Organism: Poecile atricapillus (Black-capped chickadee)
Lineage: Eukaryota; Metazoa; Chordata; Aves; Passeriformes; Paridae
Exons: 3
Source: RefSeq, a predicted model, not a curated record
GCCGGCCCGGCCGCGGCUCCUCCUGCUCGGCUCUACCCCCGUGGAAGUGCCUCGUGGUGGAAGGAACCAAGCUGUUUUCAUCCUAGCCUGGGAUGAGCUGUAAGGCAAAAACAUUUUGAGGAAAUCAGACCUGCAGUUGUUGUUCUGCUCCCUUCUGCUGAUCUCCCUGGCCGUGGGGUAAAGGGCUGUUCCUGUGCAAGGCCUGCUGUACAGAAUGCCAUGUUCCAGGGCUGGAAUAAAGGGAAAAAAAUGCAGCUUUGUCCAUGCCAGGGUCCUGGAUCUCUCAAGCAUUAAGUGUGCUCACAGGAGCAGAUGUUGCUUGGAGCCGGCCUUGAAAUGAGAGCACGGAGAGCUCUGAUGAAUGAGCUGCCAGUUUUACAGACACAGCAGCAUAAUUUCCUCAAAGGACUUAAAAUGGAUUUAUAACAAGACCUGAGC